This 984-nucleotide ribosomal RNA is filed under the name Acinetobacter lwoffii. RNAcentral's name for it is "bacterial SSU rRNA". It matches the Rfam family "Bacterial small subunit ribosomal RNA", at positions 54 to 1032 of the family's 1533-position model. The record is from RNAcentral. Lineage: Bacteria; Pseudomonadati; Pseudomonadota; Gammaproteobacteria; Moraxellales; Moraxellaceae.
CAUGCAAGUCGAGCGGGGAAGAGUAGCUUGCUACUUUACCUAGCGGCGGACGGGUGAGUAAUGCUUAGGAAUCUGCCUAUUAGUGGGGGACAACAUCUCGAAAGGGAUGCUAAUACCGCAUACGUCCUACGGGAGAAAGCAGGGGACCUUCGGGCCUUGCGCUAAUAGAUGAGCCUAAGUCGGAUUAGCUAGUUGGUGGGGUAAAGGCCUACCAAGGCGACGAUCUGUAGCGGGUCUGAGAGGAUGAUCCGCCACACUGGGACUGAGACACGGCCCAGACUCCUACGGGAGGCAGCAGUGGGGAAUAUUGGACAAUGGGGGGAACCCUGAUCCAGCCAUGCCGCGUGUGUGAAGAAGGCCUUUUGGUUGUAAAGCACUUUAAGCGAGGAGGAGGCUACCGAGAUUAAUACUCUUGGAUAGUGGACGUUACUCGCAGAAUAAGCACCGGCUAACUCUGUGCCAGCAGCCGCGGUAAUACAGAGGGUGCAAGCGUUAAUCGGAUUUACUGGGCGUAAAGCGCGCGUAGGUGGCCAAUUAAGUCAAAUGUGAAAUCCCCGAGCUUAACUUGGGAAUUGCAUUCGAUACUGGUUGGCUAGAGUAUGGGAGAGGAUGGUAGAAUUCCAGGUGUAGCGGUGAAAUGCGUAGAGAUCUGGAGGAAUACCGAUGGCGAAGGCAGCCAUCUGGCCUAAUACUGACACUGAGGUGCGAAAGCAUGGGGAGCAAACAGGAUUAGAUACCCUGGUAGUCCAUGCCGUAAACGAUGUCUACUAGCCGUUGGGGCCUUUGAGGCUUUAGUGGCGCAGCUAACGCGAUAAGUAGACCGCCUGGGGAGUACGGUCGCAAGACUAAAACUCAAAUGAAUUGACGGGGGCCCGCACAAGCGGUGGAGCAUGUGGUUUAAUUCGAUGCAACGCGAAGAACCUUACCUGGUCUUGACAUAGUAAGAACUUUCCAGAGAUGGAUUGGUGCCUUCGGGAACUUACA